GAUGAAGAACGCAGCGAAAUGCGAUAAGUAAUGUGAAUUGCAGAAUUCAGUGAAUCAUCGAAUCUUUGAACGCACAUUGCGCCCGCCAGUAUUCUGGCGGGCAUGCCUGUCCGAGCGUCAUUACAACCCUCAGGCCCCCGGGCCUGGCGUUGGGGAUCGGCGGAAGCCCCCUGCGGGCACAACGCCGUCCCCCAAAUACAGUGGCGGUCCCGCCGCAGCUUCCAUUGCGUAGUAGCUAACACCUCGCAACUGGAGAGCGGCGCGGCCACGCCGUAAAACACCCAACUUCUGAAUGUUGACCUCGAAUCAGGUAGGAAUACCCGCUGAACUUAAGCAUAUCAAUAAGCGGAGGA
Molecule: unclassified non-coding RNA, 353 nt
Filed under: soil metagenome
Description: partial contains 5.8S ribosomal RNA, internal transcribed spacer 2, and large subunit ribosomal RNA
Rfam family: 5.8S ribosomal RNA (bases 1-120)
Source: RNAcentral